This 162-nucleotide unclassified non-coding RNA is filed under the name soil metagenome. Its description in RNAcentral is "partial internal transcribed spacer 1". The record is from RNAcentral.
CAGAGUUGCAAGACUCCCUAAACCAUUGUGAACCUACCUUCUACCGUUGCUUCGGCGGGCGGGCCCAGCGCCCCCCCCGGCCCCCCCGCGGGCGCCCGCCGGAGGAUACCCAAACUCUUGACAUUAGUGGCCUCUCUGAGUAUUCUUUACUGAAUAAGUCAA